UACGGAGGGUGCGAGCGUUGUCCGGAAUCACUGGGCGUAAAGGGCGCGUAGGCGGCCUGGCAAGUCGGUGGUGAAAGCCCGUGGCUCAACUACGGGUCGGCCACCGAUACUGCUAUGGCUCGAGUUUGGUAGAGGCAGAUGGAAUUCCGGGUGUAGCGGUGGAAUGCGUAGAGAUCCGGAAGAACACCGGUGGCGAAGGCGGCCAACUGGACGGUGACUGACACUGAGACGCGAAAGCGUGGGGAGCAAACAGG
Molecule: ribosomal RNA, 254 nt
Filed under: uncultured bacterium
Lineage: Bacteria
Description: partial 16S ribosomal RNA
Rfam family: Bacterial small subunit ribosomal RNA
Source: RNAcentral